Molecule: long non-coding RNA, 1624 nt
Filed under: Bos mutus (wild yak)
Lineage: Eukaryota; Metazoa; Chordata; Mammalia; Artiodactyla; Bovidae
Description: lncRNA (ENSBMUG00000003206.1)
Source: RNAcentral
UUACUCAGAAACCUCACCCAUAACACAUGGCUGUAAAAACCUGCUCGCCUUUCAACUUUUAAGGAGCAGAGCAGGUUUCCGGAGGAACCAGACUCAAGGGGAGCCCCAGGGAAGAGCCAAAGCAGCUGGGAAUUUGAUACCCCGGUGCUCCAAAGCUAAAAGAAGAAUUAGAAGAAAGCUGCAUGAAUAAAGAUGGGAUCCUUCAUGAUACAGAAAAGACCUCAGCAGAAAUGCUGGCCCAAUGGGAGGAUGCUAUGUGGGAAAAGAAGCUUCUUGAGCAAAUGGUUAAAGAAUUGCAGCAAAAGUUGGAGGACCGAGAAAAAACCUUCGAGAGAUUUAGAGACAAACUCACAAAGGAAAUGAGAGAAAGAGACGACCUUCUGAGAAAGAUGAAUGAGAGGAUUCAGAUGCUGGAACGCUUACUGAAGUUACUAGAAACACUAGAGGAACAGGACAUGAAGAAAGAAGAGCAGGCCAAAAGAGAGGCAGCUGAAAGGGAAAACGAGCCUCUUGAACAAAAGGUUAAAGAACUGCAGCAAAAAUCGGAGAACCAAGAAAAAGUCUUCGAAGUAUUAAGAGACAAAAUGACAGAGGAGUUGAAUGAAAGAGAGAAAGCCUCAGCAGAAGAGCAGAUCAGAAGAGAGGCUGUUGAGAGGGAAAAUGAGUCUCUUGAAAAACAGGUUAAAGAAUUGCAGCAAAAUUUGGAGGACCAAGGAAGAGUCUUCCAGAGAUUAAGAACUGAAAUGACAGAGGAGAUGAGAGAAAGUGAAAACGUCUCAGCAGAAGAGCAGAUCAGAGGAGAGGCCACUGAGAGGGAAAAGGAGUCUCUUGAAAAACAGGUUAAAGAAUUGCAGCAAAAUUUGGAGGACCAAGGAAGAGUCUUCCAGAGAUUAAGAACUGAAAUGACAGAGGAGAUGAGAGAAAAUGAAAAGGCCUCAGCAGAAGAGCAGGCCAAAAGAGAGGCUGCUGAGAGGGAAAAGCUUUUAGAGCAAAAGCUUAAAGAAUUGCAACAAAAGUUUGAGGACCAAGAAAGAGCCUUCAAGGUAUUUAGAGUCCAAAUGACAGAAGAGGUGAGAGAAAGAGACAAUUUUCUGAGAAAGAUGAAUGAGAGGAUUGAGAUGCUGGAGGCUGCAGUGAACAAUGAUAAUGACAAGGAUAAUGAGGAAAACACUGAAAAGUACUGAACUUCAUAGACACAGGAAGAUAAUGACAAAGAAAAUACUUCACAGCCUUUUGUUUUAAUCUCUGUUUGGGAGAAUAUAAAACAUGUGUGGUCACUAAUUACUCAGAUUUUUUGUUUGUUUCUUUUAAAUUCUGGUAAUAUUAAAAGUUUUCACAAGUGCUUUUUUGAUCUGGAUUAUUUCUAUCUAUGUAUGUACUUUUUCUUUUAUCAUUAAAGUUUUAAUGUAAAAAGUAGAAACAUCAUCUACUAUAGAACAUCAAUUCCUGGCCCACAAAGGAAAGAAUUAGUGUGGCUGGAUAAUUAAUUUAAGUGGAAAUGGAAGCAACUGAGUAGAAGACAAAGAGGUCAAGUUUGUAAUAUCUUGAAAAAAAGAAAAAUUUUAUUAAGUAAUGCUUCUGAAAGUCACAUAUGAAUAAUUAUACAAAUGAAUAUGUAUACUGG